RNAcentral lists this ribosomal RNA (131 nucleotides) under Teratosphaeria cryptica. Its description in RNAcentral is "partial 18S ribosomal RNA". It matches the Rfam family "Eukaryotic small subunit ribosomal RNA", at positions 1702 to 1830 of the family's 1831-position model. Lineage: Eukaryota; Fungi; Ascomycota; Dothideomycetes; Mycosphaerellales; Teratosphaeriaceae. The record is from RNAcentral.
UGAGGCGUUCGGACUGGCCCAGGGAGGUCGGCAACGACCACCCAGGGCCGGAAAGUUCGUCAAACUUGGUCAUUUAGAGGAAGUAAAAGUCGUAACAAGGUCUCCGUAGGUGAACCUGCGGAGGGAUCAUU